RNAcentral lists this ribosomal RNA (253 nucleotides) under uncultured bacterium. RNAcentral describes it as "partial 16S ribosomal RNA". It matches the Rfam family "Bacterial small subunit ribosomal RNA", at positions 524 to 776 of the family's 1533-position model. The record is from RNAcentral.
UACGUAGGGUGCGAGCGUUAAUCGGAAUUACUGGGCGUAAAGAGUGCGUAGGCGGUUCGUUAAGUCAGCUGUGAAAGCCCCGGGCUCAACCUGGGAACUGCGGUUGAAACUGGCGAACUAGAAUCUGGCAGAGGGGGGUGGAAUUCCACGUGUAGCAGUGAAAUGCGUAGAGAUGUGGAGGAACACCGAUGGCGAAGGCAGCCCCCUGGGCUGAGAUUGACGCUCAGGCACGAAAGCGUGGGGAGCAAACAGG